GGCUCUGUGGCACAAUGGAUAGUGCAUUGGACUUCUAGAUUGAUGACAGAUGGAGUCAUUCAAAGGUUGUGGGUUCAAGUCCCACCAGAGCUG
This is a non-coding RNA of Chelonia mydas (Green sea turtle), 93 nucleotides long. NCBI's taxonomy places the organism in Eukaryota, Metazoa, Chordata, Testudines, Cheloniidae. The record is from Rfam.